Molecule: ribosomal RNA, 253 nt
Filed under: uncultured Oscillospira sp.
Lineage: Bacteria; Bacillati; Bacillota; Clostridia; Eubacteriales; Oscillospiraceae
Description: partial 16S ribosomal RNA
Rfam family: Bacterial small subunit ribosomal RNA
Source: RNAcentral
UACGUAGGUGGCAAGCGUUGUCCGGAUUUACUGGGUGUAAAGGGCGUGCAGCCGGGAAGACAAGUCAGAUGUGAAAUCCCGCGGCUCAACCGCGGAACUGCAUUUGAAACUGUUUUUCUUGAGUAUCGGAGAGGUAAUCGGAAUUCCUAGUGUAGCGGUGAAAUGCGUAGAUAUUAGGAAGAACACCAGUGGCGAAGGCGACUUACUGGACUGUAACUGACGCUGAGGCAUGAGAGCAUGGGGAGCAAACAGG